Molecule: ribosomal RNA, 498 nt
Filed under: uncultured Glomeromycotina
Lineage: Eukaryota; Fungi; Glomeromycota
Description: partial small subunit ribosomal RNA
Rfam family: Eukaryotic small subunit ribosomal RNA
Source: RNAcentral
CCAAUAGCGUAUAUUAAAGUUGUUGCAGUUAAAAAGCUCGUAGUUGAAUUUCGGGAUCAGUACGUUGGUCGUGCCUUCGGUACGUACUGGCGUUACAGGUUCCUACCUUCUGAGGAACCGUCAUGUCAUUAAUUUGGUGUGGUGGGAAAUCAGGACUGUUACUUUGAAAAAAUUAGAGUGUUUAAAGCAGGCUCGCGCUUGAAUACAUUAGCAUGGAAUAAUGAAAUAGGACGUUCGAUCCUAUUUUGUUGGUUUCUAGGAUUGACGUAAUGAUUAAUAGGGAUAGUUGGGGGCAUUAGUAUUCAAUUGUCAGAGGUGAAAUUCUUGGAUUUAUUGAAGACUAACUACUGCGAAAGCAUUUGCCAGGGAUGUUUUCAUUAAUCAAGAACGAAAGUUAGGGGAUCGAAGACGAUCAGAUACCGUCGUAGUCUUAACCAUAAACUAUGCCGACUAGGGAUCGGAUGAUGUUAUUUUUAAUGACUCAUUCGGCGCCUUACG